Molecule: long non-coding RNA, 930 nt
Filed under: Equus asinus (donkey)
Lineage: Eukaryota; Metazoa; Chordata; Mammalia; Perissodactyla; Equidae
Description: lncRNA (ENSEASG00005032415.1)
Source: RNAcentral
AUUGAAAAGAAAACAGAGAACCUAAAAUGACAGUUGGAGACUUGAAUACUACUCUCUCAGAAAGUGGACAGUAAAUCAAUGAUGUCAUAAAAGAACUGGCCAACAGUGUCUGCCAAGUAAGCCAGACUUCCAUUCAAGAACAGCCAAAUACAUGUUAUUUAAAAAUAUACAUAAGGGUGAUGUCAGCCUCAUGACAGAAUGAGCUCUUCCCUUAGACUCUUCUCCCUAGGAAAUAAUGAAAAGGAAAUUCAUAAACCAACAUGGGACAUUCACACAACACAAAAGAAGUCUGAGAGACCCACACAGCCAUGCAUCUGAACAUGGAGGUGCUAGACCCCUGGAGGAAGAGGAUGGAGAAAGGAAUUUAGAAGAGAAAGAUCUGAUUCUUUGGCCACAGUUCAAAGACAUGAGAUACAAUUCAGGGGCUGUGAUCGUGAACCUGGACAUCAUGACACAGGUUAAAAGCUGGAGAAGACUGAUUAGUCAGCCCAUGUCUCCUAAGCAUGAUGAAAGCCGAUCAUGUCCUUGGGUACAUACACAAUGGAGCAGUUUCCAGACUAUAGAGAUGGAUUUCAAGCUACCUCUGACCAGUAGUUUUCUUAAAUUUUCUGAACACAUUUACAAGAGAAAAGGAUAAAGGGAGCGUCUCUCAUUGUGCCGUACAGUCUAAUGGACAAGAGAACACAUAUAAUCAUACACAUGAAUGCAUUUUAAUUCUUAAGUGGAUGCUCUUCUCUAGCUGGAAGAACAGAAGAAGAAAGGAAACAAAAUGAUAUCUAAAUUUAUAUUCACUUAUUCACUGAUUCAAGUAGACCCACACAAGAUUUGUGGGGGUUUUUCCCCUGAAUAGGUAGAAUGAAAACAACAGAAUUGUCAUGAUUUAGCCUAAAUAAAAACAGGGGAAUGAUCAGAACCUAAUUUCAUUUCGUU